UCAGGGUUCCACCUCUUCCCAUUCCGAACAGAGAAGUUAAGCCUGAUCACGCCGAUGGUACUGCGUAACAGUGGGAGAGUAGGUAGUCGCCGUUU
Molecule: ribosomal RNA, 95 nt
Filed under: Bacteroides fragilis
Lineage: Bacteria; Pseudomonadati; Bacteroidota; Bacteroidia; Bacteroidales; Bacteroidaceae
Also listed under: 2 other names
Source: RNAcentral